This is a non-coding RNA of Neocallimastix lanati (nom. inval.), 71 nucleotides long. Lineage: Eukaryota; Fungi; Neocallimastigomycota; Neocallimastigomycetes; Neocallimastigales; Neocallimastigaceae. The record is from the annotation of a GenBank genome assembly.
GCCAUGUUGGUCCAGUCGGUUAGAACAAUACAGGUUACUAUAGUGGCCGGAUUUGAAUCCCCGACAUAGCG